GUAGGUGGCAAGCGUUGUCCGGAAUUAUUGGGCGUAAAGCGCGCGCAGGCGGUUCUUUAAGUCUGAUGUGAAAGCCCACGGCUCAACCGUGGAGGGUCAUUGGAAACUGGAGAACUUGAGUACAGAAGAGGAAAGCGGAAUUCCACGUGUAGCGGUGAAAUGCGUAGAGAUGUGGAGGAACACCAGAGGCGAAGGCGGCUUUCUGGUCUGUAACUGACGCUGAGGCGCGAAAGCGUGGGGAGCAAACAGGAUUAGAUACCCUGGUAGUCCACGCCGUAAACGAUGAGUGCUAAGUGUUAGGGGGGUUUCCGCCCCCCUUAGUGCUGCAGCUAACGCAUUAAGCACUCCGCCUGGGAGUACGGCCGCAAGGCUG
RNAcentral lists this ribosomal RNA (373 nucleotides) under uncultured organism. RNAcentral describes it as "partial 16S ribosomal RNA". It matches the Rfam family "Bacterial small subunit ribosomal RNA", at positions 527 to 896 of the family's 1533-position model. The record is from RNAcentral.